CAGGCCCUCUGCUUGCCCCUCACGUCCGCGCCUUGCAGGCCGUCUGUGUCCCGAGUCCAAGGCCGCCCGCGGAGUUGGGUCACCAGCCACAUAAGCUGGAAGCACAAGGGCGUUUUUCUCUGCUGUUUCCUGUGGAAACCUGGUCAAGCUCCUAGAGUCACAAAAACUGGGGCACCAGACUGGGUAUGAGCUCCUUUUGGGGGUGACACCAAAUAUUACAGUCCCAUGAGACCAGGAAUGUAAGUUCCCCUGGCCUCCAGAGCCAGAU
Molecule: long non-coding RNA, 268 nt
Organism: Lontra canadensis (Northern American river otter)
Lineage: Eukaryota; Metazoa; Chordata; Mammalia; Carnivora; Mustelidae
Exons: 3
Source: RefSeq, a predicted model, not a curated record